AUACUUACCUGGCACAGGCUUUACAGUGAUCCGCGAAGGCUUUCAAAUUCCAAAGCGACCUUCCACGCAUUACCGGCUUUGCCGGAUUCCCCUGCGAUCGUCCCAAAAUGUGAAUGACUCGGGUGCGCAAUUUAUAAGUGUGGGGACGGCAAGCCUGCGCCUCCCCG
Haliotis rubra (blacklip abalone) is the source of this 167-nucleotide small nuclear RNA. RefSeq annotates it as U1 spliceosomal RNA. NCBI's taxonomy places the organism in Eukaryota, Metazoa, Mollusca, Gastropoda, Lepetellida, Haliotidae. The transcript has a single exon. The record is from RefSeq and is a predicted model, not a curated record.